This 474-nucleotide ribosomal RNA is filed under the name Triticum aestivum (bread wheat). RNAcentral describes it as "partial small subunit ribosomal RNA". Lineage: Eukaryota; Viridiplantae; Streptophyta; Magnoliopsida; Poales; Poaceae. The record is from RNAcentral.
AUGCCACUUUGCAAGUCGACCCUCAACUUGCAACUGGGUCUUCUAUUCUUGAUGCCACUUGGAAGUGGACGCUCGACUUUGCGAUCCAAUUACUUGUUUCAUGCCACUUGCAAGCCGAGCCUCGACUUGCAACUAGGUCUUCUGUUUUCAUACCACUUGCAAGUGGACCCUCUACUUGCUACUGUGUCUUUUUGUUUAAUGCCACUUGCAAGUGGAUCCUCGACUUGCAACCGCGUCUUCUAUUUUUUUGAUGCCACUCUCAAGUGGACCCUCGACUUGCAACCGGGUUCCUUUGUUUUUCAUGCCACUUGCAAGUGGAUCCUUGACUUGCAACUACUUCUUCUAAUUUUUUUAUGCCACUGGCAAGUGGNNNNNNNNNNUGGCAAGUGGACCCUCGACUUGCAACCGGUUCCUUUGUUUUUCAUGCCACUUGCAAGUGGAUCAUCGACUUGCAACCAGGUCUUCUUUUUUUGA